UUAAGCGACUAAGCGUACACGGUGGAUGCCCUGGCAGUCAGAGGCGAUGAAGGACGUGCUAAUCUGCGAUAAGCGUCGGUAAGGUGAUAUGAACCGUUAUAGCCGGCGAUUUCCGAAUGGGGAAACCCAGUGCAAUUCGUUGCACUAUCGUUAAGUGAAUACAUAGCUUAACGAAGCGAACCGGGGGAACUGAAACAUCUAAGUACCCCGAGGAAAAGAAAUCAACCGAGAUUCCCCCAGUAGCGGCGAGCGAACGGGGAGCAGCCCAGAACCUGAAUCAGUUUGUGUGUUAGUGGAAGCGUCUGGAAAGUCGCAGGGUACAGGGUGAUACUCCCGUACACUAAAAUGCAUAUUCUGUGAGUUCGAAGAGUAGGGCGGGACACGUGGUAUCCUGUCUGAAUAUGGGGGGACCAUCCUCCAAGGCUAAAUACUCCUGACUGACCGAUAGUGAACCAGUACCGUGAGGGAAAGGCGAAAAGAACCCCGGCGAGGGGAGUGAAAAAGAACCUGAAACCGUGUACGUACAAGCAGUGGGAGCCUCUUUAUGGGGUGACUGCGUACCUUUUGUAUAAUGGGUCAGCGACUUAUAUUCUGUAGCAAGGUUAACCGAAUAGGGGAGCCGCAGGGAAACCGAGUCUUAACUGGGCGUUAAGUUGCAGGGUAUAGACCCGAAACCCGGUGAUCUAGCCAUGGGCAGGUUGAAGGUUGGGUAACACUAACUGGAGGACCGAACCGACUAAUGUUGAAAAAUUAGCGGAUGACUUGUGGCUGGGGGUGAAAGGCCAAUCAAACCGGGAGAUAGCUGGUUCUCCCCGAAAGCUAUUUAGGUAGCGCCUCGUGAACUCAUCUUCGGGGGUAGAGCACUGUUUCGGCUAGGGGGUCAUCCCGACUUACCAACCCGAUGCAAACUACGAAUACCGAAGAAUGUUAUCACGGGAGACACACGGCGGGUGCUAACGUCCGUCGUGAAGAGGGAAACAACCCAGACCGCCAGCUAAGGUCCCAAAGUCAUGGUUAAGUGGGAAACGAUGUGGGAAGGCACAGACAGCCAGGAUGUUGGCUUAGAAGCAGCCAUCAUUUAAAGAAAGCGUAAUAGCUCACUGGUCGAGUCGGCCUGCGCGGAAGAUGUAACGGGGCUAAACCAUGCACCGAAGCUGCGGCAGCGACACGAUGUGUUGUUGGGUAGGGGAGCGUUCUGUAAGCCGUUGAAGGUGGCCUGUGAGGGUUGCUGGAGGUAUCAGAAGUGCGAAUGCUGACAUAAGUAACGAUAAAGCGGGUGAAAAGCCCGCUCGCCGGAAGACCAAGGGUUCCUGUCCAACGUUAAUCGGGGCAGGGUGAGUCGACCCCUAAGGCGAGGCCGAAAGGCGUAGUCGAUGGGAAACAGGUUAAUAUUCCUGUACUCGGUGUUACUGCGAAGGGGGGACGGAGAAGGCUAUGUCGGCCGGGCGACGGUUGUCCCGGUUUAAGCAUGUAGGCGGAGGUUCCAGGUAAAUCCGGUACCUUAUUAACGCUGAGGUGUGAUGACGAGGCACUACGGUGCUGAAGUGACAAAUGCCCUGCUUCCAGGAAAAGCCUCUAAGCAUCAGGUAACAUCAAAUCGUACCCCAAACCGACACAGGUGGUCAGGUAGAGAAUACCAAGGCGCUUGAGAGAACUCGGGUGAAGGAACUAGGCAAAAUGGUGCCGUAACUUCGGGAGAAGGCACGCUGAUGGUAAGUGAAGCGACUUGCUCGUGGAGCUGAACUCAGUCGAAGAUACCAGCUGGCUGCAACUGUUUAUUAAAAACACAGCACUGUGCAAACACGAAAGUGGACGUAUACGGUGUGACGCCUGCCCGGUGCCGGAAGGUUAAUUGAUGGGGUUAUCCGUAAGGAGAAGCUCUUGAUCGAAGCCCCGGUAAACGGCGGCCGUAACUAUAACGGUCCUAAGGUAGCGAAAUUCCUUGUCGGGUAAGUUCCGACCUGCACGAAUGGCGUAAUGAUGGCCAGGCUGUCUCCACCCGAGACUCAGUGAAAUUGAACUCGCUGUGAAGAUGCAGUGUACCCGCGGCAAGACGGAAAGACCCCGUGAACCUUUACUAUAGCUUGACACUGAACACUGGUCCUUGAUGUGUAGGAUAGGUGGGAGGCUUUGAAGUGUGGACGCCAGUCUGCAUGGAGCCGACCUUGAAAUACCACCCUUUAAUGGCUGGUGUUCUAACGUAGACCCGUCAUCCGGGUUGCGGACAGUGUCUGGUGGGUAGUUUGACUGGGGCGGUCUCCUCCCAAAGAGUAACGGAGGAGCACGAAGGUUAGCUAAUCCUGGUCGGACAUCAGGAGGUUAGUGCAAUGGCAUAAGCUAGCUUGACUGCGAGCGUGACGGCGCGAGCAGGUGCGAAAGCAGGUCAUAGUGAUCCGGUGGUUCUGAAUGGAAGGGCCAUCGCUCAACGGAUAAAAGGUACUCCGGGGAUAACAGGCUGAUACCGCCCAAGAGUUCAUAUCGACGGCGGUGUUUGGCACCUCGAUGUCGGCUCAUCACAUCCUGGGGCUGAAGUAGGUCCCAAGGGUAUGGCUGUUCGCCAUUUAAAGUGGUACGCGAGCUGGGUUUAGAACGUCGUGAGACAGUUCGGUCCCUAUCUGCCGUGGGCGCUGGAGAAUUGAGGGGGGCUGCUCCUAGUACGAGAGGACCGGAGUGGACGCAUCACUGGUGUUCGGGUUGUCAUGCCAAUGGCAUUGCCCGGUAGCUAAAUGCGGAAGAGAUAAGUGCUGAAAGCAUCUAAGCACGAAACUUGCCCCGAGAUGAGUUCUCCCUGACUCCUUGAGAGUCCUGAAGGAACGUUGAAGACGACGACGUUGAUAGGUCGGGUGUGUAAGCGUAGCGAUACGUUGAGCUAACCGAUACUAAUGAACCGUGAGGCUUAACCU
Molecule: ribosomal RNA, 2903 nt
Filed under: Klebsiella planticola
Lineage: Bacteria; Pseudomonadati; Pseudomonadota; Gammaproteobacteria; Enterobacterales; Enterobacteriaceae
Description: Raoultella planticola 23S ribosomal RNA
Rfam family: Bacterial large subunit ribosomal RNA
Source: RNAcentral